CUGCUGCCUUCCGUAGGAGUCUGGCCGUGUCUCAGUCCCAGUGUGGGGGGCCUUCCUCUCAGAACCCCUACGCAUCGUCGCCACGGUGGGCCGUCACCCCGCCGUCUAGCUAAUGCGCCGCAUGCCCAUCCGCCACCGGAUCGCUCCUUUGGCCACCGGAGGAUGCCCUCCGGUGGCGUCACGGGGUAUUAGGCCGCGUUUCCGCGGGUUAUCCCCCUGUGGCGGCCAGGUUGCAUACGUGUUACUCACCCGUGCGCCGGUCGCCGGG
This 268-nucleotide ribosomal RNA is filed under the name uncultured bacterium. RNAcentral describes it as "partial 16S ribosomal RNA". The record is from RNAcentral.